GUUUGUUCAAACAACUCCCGAAGUUACACUAAUUAACACUAAUGAACACUGAAAAAUAUGUCUCUGAAAAAUUAACACUUAAUAACACUGUCAAUUUUACUGUGUGGUAUCCAAAUGAUAGCUCAGA
Molecule: long non-coding RNA, 127 nt
Organism: Alosa sapidissima (American shad)
Lineage: Eukaryota; Metazoa; Chordata; Actinopteri; Clupeiformes; Clupeidae
Exons: 3
Source: RefSeq, a predicted model, not a curated record